Long non-coding RNA from Mus musculus (house mouse), 1632 nucleotides. RefSeq annotates it as predicted gene, 41892. The record is from RefSeq and is a predicted model, not a curated record. The transcript has 2 exons. Lineage: Eukaryota; Metazoa; Chordata; Mammalia; Rodentia; Muridae.
CUGGAAACUCAAGUCUCCUUGGGACACUCGCCUCCUCCUUUCUAGGACCUGUACCUGCACACACACACACACACACACACACACACACACACACACACACACACACACACACGACCAAAACCUUCUCCCUUUACUUCCCAAUCCCGGACGUGCGCUGAGCCAUCUCAAAGACCUUUUUGAGUACCUGCCAAGGACCAAUACUGCUCCCACAUGCCUCCAAGAAGCCCUCGUGCAAAAGUGCACGAGCUCCCAAGGCUUGUGUGCGCGGCCAGCCCUCUGAGGGAAGUUCUGCACACCCCAAAUCCCAGCCCCCACCCUAGCUCGGACAGCAGGAGGGAGCCCCCGGGUGUGGCUUGGCGCUGGCACACAAUACUCUAGCAACUCUAGCUUUCCCCGCACGCCCUGGCCAACCUUGCCACUAGUUUCUCCUCACACAGUCCCUCUGGUUCAAGCCUGCCAGGAGCAGGAGCGUCCUCGUGGCUGUUGGAUGGGAAUCAGGAAGAUUGGAAAGACAGGCAACUACCACCCAGAUCGCUAGUGGGUCGCAGUCUCCAGAAGCCGCAUGGGUGUUCACGUCCUUCCGAAGGAGACGAAGUGAGGACAACCCCAAAGACCAGAAGGAGCGAAUCCUACAGGAGGUAAUUGUGGCCCUCAGUCCUCAUCAAAGAAGCUUCUUUUAGCAACAGAUGGAGACUACUACAGAGAUUGACAACUGGUCAAAAUGUGGACAACUGACCAUGGAGGUCCCUAUCCCCAACUGAUAAAUCUACCAUACAAUCCCUGUAUUCAAGGCUCUUAGAAGGCAGGGGAAGGGGGGCAGAAAGAUUGUUAAGAACUAAAGAGCAGGGAAGUCUGCUGCCAGAUAGUGUCUUAUAUAUGUGACAGGGAAGCUACACACAUGAAAUUUCAACAAUAUAGUCUCCUAAGCAAGACCUGCACAAUGACAUUCAAACAUGGAUGGAUGGAUGGAUGGAUGGAGGAAAUCUCACAAUAGCUACCCCUGAAGAGCUACAAUCAAUGUGUGUGUGUGUGUGUGUGUGUGUGUGUGUGUGUGUGUGUACGCGCGCGCGUGCAUCCCCCCCCCCCCACGUGCACUGGUAUGUUUGUAAUUUAUAGAAGAAGAGGGCAAGAAUUUUGCUUUAAUUUUGUAGUUUUGAAGACAGGGUUUCACCAUGUGUAGCCUUAGCCCUCUUGGAACUCAACUUGUAUACCAAAUUCGACACGAACUCAUAAUGAUCCUCCUGCCUCUGCUUCCCUAGUGCUGGAAUUAAAGGUAUACAGUAUGCUCUAUCAUGGCCAGCUUGAGGUAAUGAAUUUGAAAGGCAAGUGGGGGCAUGAGAAGAAUUAUAGGCAGAGAGGAUGGGCUGUUAAAAAUAAUGUAGUUACAGUACUUACAUAUAAAAUUCUCAAAAACUAGAUUCAAAACUUUAAAGUAAAAAUAUAAAUAUGUGCGUGUGAGUGGGUGUAUAUAUAAAUAAAUGUAAAUUUAAAUACUUUUGACAAAUCCUUCACCUAUAAAACCUUUGGUAAGCUAUUUUUCUCUCCCUUCUCUUUAUUCCCUUCCCCUCCCUUCUCUUUGUUGAUGGUUAUUUCUGAUGCACAUGGCAAAUUAAAGAAUACAGCACUAUCUUA